RNA transcript from Oncorhynchus kisutch (coho salmon), 3472 nucleotides. It is a transcript of the gene named carcinoembryonic antigen-related cell adhesion molecule 1, with no coding region annotated. Lineage: Eukaryota; Metazoa; Chordata; Actinopteri; Salmoniformes; Salmonidae. The record is from RefSeq and is a predicted model, not a curated record. The transcript is spliced from 10 exons.
AAGAAGAGUCUUUCAACUGGGUGUGUUCACCAAACUAAAGCGUACACAGUAGCUACUAUACAUGCAUCUGUCUAGUGGUUCGAAUGGAUUCUCCACCCUUUAACUUUUACCUUUCACUAUGUUUUCAUGUUGUAGGGUUGUGUUAUGGAAAAGGUUUGUUACCAGCAGAUUCCAUGGUCGGGGAGGUUUCACACAAUGUGACAUUCACAAUUGUUAAUCCACCAAGCACACCAUUUAGGGUAGUAGCCUGGACAACUAAUGGUACUAAUGUAAUAACCAGUGGUGGCAGCGGGGCUGACGAUAUAGGGACUGGAUAUGUAGGAAGAAUCACUUUGAACUCUACUACUGGAUCUCUGGAACUCAGGAAUCUAGUCCUGAGUGACACAGGAGAAUAUGUAGUCACUAUAUUAGCAGUUGGACAACCAAAGGAAGGGACUGCUACAUUGAGGGUGUAUGCGCCAGUCUCCAAGAUGACAAUAACUGCCAACAACAUAGACUUAGUGGAGUUCAACAGCUCUGUCAGUCUGUCCUGCUCCUCCUCUGGCACCUCCCUCUCUUACCGCUGGCUGAAUGGCAGCUCAGAGUUCACAGCCAGUGAUGGAGUUCAGCUUGAUGAUGGAAACAGCACUCUCACCAUAGUCAGAGUGACCCGGUAUGACCAGGGGCCGUUCUGGUGUAUUGUCUCCAACCCCAUCAACAGUGACAAUGAGAGUAUAACCCUCACCAUCAGCUAUGGUCCAGAAAACAUAACAUUGAAGGUGACCCCUCUAGAUGUACUGUAUGGAUCAGGGUCAGACCUCACUCUGUCCUGCUCAUCUGAGUCCAGUCCUCCUGCCCAGUUUCAGUGGGCUCUGAAUGGAGAACUGCUGUCCAAUCAGGGACCAGUACUCAGGCUGGAGAAAAUCCAGGCCAAUCAGAGUGGUAGGUACAGCUGCUGGGCCCAUAAUACCAGAACCCUGAGGUACCAGACAUCUGAGCCCUCUGACAUCACUGUGCUGGAAAGAAUAUCUAGUGCUAAACUCACAAUUUCCCCAAACCCUCCAAUCAUCGAAGGGGGUUCUGUCACCUUAACCUGUGAUGCUUCUGGCUCCAUCAGCAACAGAGACUGGAGGAAGGAUGGUCAGCCUCUGUCUCCUAGUGAAAGAAUCAUCUUCUCUGAGGAUAAUAAGACCGUUUCUAUCAGUCCUUUGAAUUUAACAGAUUCUGGAAUAUUCCUGUGUCAUCUCGCCAACCUUCUCAGCAAUGAGAAUGCAUCUUACAAUCUCACUGUUAAUUUGAAGGGAUCAACACAAGGUGGACCGAAUGUUGGUGCCAUCGUUGGUGGUAGUUUGGGUGCAGUAGCUGUGGUUGCAGUGACAGCGAUAGGUGUGGUGGCAGCUAUGAAAAAGGGCUGCUUCAAGAAAAUAACUUCCGGUGGAAGUACAGUUAGCAACAUUCCCAGCUGUGUAAAUACUUAACGUCCUCUGUCUGUUUGGGAAAACAAACCUAUCUCUCUGCUCCUGAUUAUCAUAAUCUUCUACAGACACAAAACAAACGAACUAACCAUCAUGCCUGUAAUCUAAGGCAAUGCUUUGAUUGAAGGUCAGGUGAAAGCUCUACUAAUGGAGGGGGGAAAGGAGGAAACCAGGAGCUGAACUAUGCAGACAUCACGCAAUUCCAGAAGAGGGAUGGUGGGUCAGUUCAGCUGGGGAACCUGGGUAUUUCCUCCACAGAGUACGCUACGGUCAGAGUCAACAACAGGCCCGGUCAGCCGACCUAACCCACCUACCAGGCCCACCAAUCCCAGUACACCCAGGUGAAAAAACCUGCCCAUAAGCCUGCCCCUGAUGCUGCAUCCACCGUCUACUCAGACGUCCGAAGGAACUGACCAACCCUCCCUGUCAAUCAUCUGGACCAGUUGGGGUCAGUCAGGGUGACUAGGCCUGUUCAGACAUGGUCAGUGAAGCCCCACAACCUUCUCUGUGUCAAUGUGCCAACCAAACGUUUUCUAAUAAUGUAUCCCUUAUUAGGCCUGGAGAUCCCUGGACAAACAAUAAUGUCAGUUGACCCCUUAGCUAUUAUCAUUACAUUGGGUGCUAAUCUGUUUUAAAAUGCAUACUCAACUAAUAGUAAUGAUAAUGUCCUAAUAGCUCAUCAGAUCGUGAUGGAUAGUGAAUAUAUUGAUAUACACAAAUAAUACAGCUACAUACACAAUGUGCCAUUAAAGAUAGUCUCUCUAAAUGCUCUUUUCAGUUCUCAUACAUACAGUACUGUUGAAGUAACUGUACUAUACGACAAAUAGUGAAAAUCUUUAGCAUGCAUCCCAUGAUUUAUUAGAACAGCAACACAGAGGAACACCAGUUCUCAGGGUGACAUGGGUACCUUAUCCCUGGUCAUUUGCAUGUAUGGUGUACAUGAUACCUUAUGUACUGUUAGAUAUGAAAUAGCCCUGUGUGCAGUAUGUGUACAUGAUAAAUACUGUUUGCUUUGUUUAUUAGCAAUAGAUGGCUCUCUCACUGUUGAUUUGUUUGUCUGAGUGUACAGUGUGUGCAUUCAAUAAUUAUUUGGAUCAAUAAUUUCCCUAUGGCUAUUUGAUUAUUAAAACACCCAGCCAUGCAUGGGAAGUUUUUAAACACCACACUACCCAUUUAGCUUUAAUAACAAAGCUGUAUUUAUUAUUUGGGACAUUUUCUACAGUGAUGCUUGUACCUCAAACCUAUUUCAAUAACAUAUUACUAUAUUUUAAAUUAUUCAACUAAUGUACAAUAUGAGAAAGUAGGCUUGAUUUACAGUAAGAUACUUGUACUUCUAGUUCCGACCGUGUAGCAAUAUUAACAAAUAAUCUAACAAUUACACAACAACUACCUACUAUAUUUGUAUGUUUAAAUUAUUAAAUUAAUGUACAAUGUGUGAGAAAGCAGGCUUGAUUUACAGUAAGAUACAUUUAUUAAUCUUUAUGGUUUAUUGUGGUUCCAAGCAUUUUUGUUAUUUGUGAAUCCACGUAUAUUUGAGUCAUUAUGUAUUUUGCAGCAAAAACAGAAGUGUCUGUAUGCUUAAGAAUGGUUUAUUUAAUGUCAAAUGUACUGUACAUGAUUUAGUUCCAUAUCUACUACCAAACCAAACAUUCCAGUUUAUCUACUACCAAACCAAUCAUAGAGUUAUGUAAGAACACAGGGGAAGGCACAGCGUGGGUAAUUGCUAUACUCCAACAUCAAAGGCCCUCUCGGUCAACCCUCUCAAUACACUUAGUAAUUCCUUUGUACUCAUAUGAAUCCAUUGGUUCCUAUGAUGUCAAUUUGGGCUUGUCAUUGAAGUUUUAUCAUUCUGACCUGUAUACUGCUACUGUACAUACUGCACAUGAUUAUUGUCAUAAUGAAUUGUAGACUUGUCUGCCUUUAAAAAAAGAGGAAUGCAACUAUUUGUUUUGAAAUAAUUGCACUUUUAUGGAAGAAUUUACAUUUUGAUGCCAAUAAAUUAUAUUUGCUGUAACAUG